CUGUAGCCUGAUAUUGGAUUUCGGUUUUUCAUGUACAGGAUAGGUGGGAGGCGGAGAACCCAGGGCGUCAGCCUUGGGGGAGCCAACCUUGGGAUACCACCCUUGGAGUAUUGAGGUUCUAACAAAGAGCCGUGUAUCCGGUUCGUGGACAGUGUCAGGUGGGCAGUUUGACUGGGGCGGUCGCCUCCCAAAAGGUAACGGAGGCGCCCAAAGGUUCCCUCAACGCGGUUGGAAAUCGCGUGGCAGAGUGCAAAGGCAGAAGGGAGCUUGACAGUGAGACAUACAGGUCGAGCUGGGACGAAUUGGGCUGUUCGCCCAUUAAAGCGGUACGUGAGCUGGGUUCAGAACGUCGUGAGACAGUUCGGUCCCUAUCCGUCGCAGGCGCAGGAAACUUGAGAGGAGCUGUCCCUAGUACGAGAGGACCGGGAUGGACAGACCGCUGGUGUACCAGUUAUCGUGCCAACGGUAGCGCUGGGUAGCCAUGUCUGGUGCGGAUAAACGCUGAAAGCAUCUAAGCGUGAAACCCCCCUCAAGAUAAGGUUUCCCACCCAUGUGAGAAGUGAGAGGUGAGAGGUUGGAAGUGAGAAAAGAAGGUAUUCGGCAAAGCCGAAUACCAACCUUGAAAUCCCACCUCCGGCUUCCCACAUCUCACUUCUCAGUGGGGUAAGACCCCUGGUAGACUACCAGGUAGAUAGGCCGGGCGUGUAAGGCUGGCAACAGUUUGAGCGGACCGGUACUAAUUGGUCGAGGGCUUGACUAU
This 760-nucleotide ribosomal RNA is filed under the name terrestrial metagenome. RNAcentral's name for it is "bacterial LSU rRNA". It matches the Rfam family "Bacterial large subunit ribosomal RNA", at positions 2104 to 2925 of the family's 2925-position model. The record is from RNAcentral.